RNAcentral lists this ribosomal RNA (279 nucleotides) under uncultured bacterium. Its description in RNAcentral is "partial 16S ribosomal RNA". It matches the Rfam family "Bacterial small subunit ribosomal RNA", at positions 506 to 784 of the family's 1533-position model. The record is from RNAcentral.
UGCCAGCAGCCGCGGUAAUACGGAGGGAGCUAGCGUUGUUCGGAAUUACUGGGCGUAAAGCGCGCGUAGGUGGCUUGGUAAGUUGGAUGUGAAAGCCCCGGGCUCAACCUGGGAACUGCAUCCAAAACUGCCUCGCUAGAGUACGGUAGAGGGUAGUGGAAUUUCCUGUGUAGCGGUGAAAUGCGUAGAUAUAGGAAGGAACACCAGUGGCGAAGGCGACUACCUGGACUGAUACUGACACUGAGGUGCGAAAGCGUGGGGAGCAAACAGGAUUAGAUA